RNAcentral lists this ribosomal RNA (566 nucleotides) under uncultured bacterium. RNAcentral describes it as "bacterial SSU rRNA". It matches the Rfam family "Bacterial small subunit ribosomal RNA", at positions 338 to 916 of the family's 1533-position model. The record is from RNAcentral.
CCUACGGGAGGCAGCAGUGGGGAAUAUUGGGCAAUGGAGGAAACUCUGACCCAGCGACGCCGCGUGCGGGAUGAAGACCUUCGGGUUGUAAACCGCCUUCAGUAGGGAAGAAGCGAAAGUGACGGUACCUACAGAAGAAGCACCGGCUAACUAUGUGCCAGCAGCCGCGGUAAUACAUAGGGUGCAAGCGUUGUCCGGAAUUAUUGGGCGUAAAGAGCUCGUAGGUGGUUCGUCACGUCGGAUGUGAAAAUCUGGGGCUCAACCCCAGACCUGCAUUCGAUACGGGCGAUCUAGAGUGUGGUAGGGGAGACUGGAAUUCCUGGUGUAGCGGUGGAAUGCGCAGAUAUCAGGAGGAACACCAAUGGCGAAGGCAGGUCUCUGGGCCAUUACUGACACUGAGGAGCGAAAGCGUGGGGAGCGAACAGGAUUAGAUACCCUGGUAGUCCACGCAGUAAACGGUGGGCACUAGUUGUGGGAACCUUCCACGGUUUCUGCGACGCAGCUAACGCAUUAAGUGCCCCGCCUGGGGAGUACGAUCGCAAGAUUAAAACUCAAAGGAUUGACGG